AUUGAGUUGAUUAUGAUAAAGAAUCAUCCUGUAUAAGUUUGUAAGAAAAAAAAAAUAUAUGAAAUAAAUUGUUUUUUAGUUAAUGACAUACACGAAGCUAUAAGAAAUCUCGAUACGACAAGAAAUAAUAUUAUACAUAUUUUGUUCCAAGCUAUGAGAAAUAUCAAUACACCUUCAGGUUUUAUUGAUGGAAUUUAUCAAGUUUUGAUAAAUAAGUUAUUGGAAGCUAUAAGAAAUAACAAUAGGACUUCAGUUUUUACUGUAAAUAUUUUGUCUACAGCUAUAAGAA
This is a long non-coding RNA of Daktulosphaira vitifoliae (grape phylloxera), 289 nucleotides long. RefSeq lists it as uncharacterized. NCBI's taxonomy places the organism in Eukaryota, Metazoa, Arthropoda, Insecta, Hemiptera, Phylloxeridae. The record is from RefSeq and is a predicted model, not a curated record. The transcript has 8 exons.